RNAcentral lists this ribosomal RNA (455 nucleotides) under uncultured bacterium. RNAcentral's name for it is "bacterial SSU rRNA". It matches the Rfam family "Bacterial small subunit ribosomal RNA", at positions 340 to 786 of the family's 1533-position model. The record is from RNAcentral.
UACGGGAGGCAGCAGUGGGGAAUAUUGCACAAUGGGCGAAAGCCUGAUGCAGCUAUGCCGCGUGUAUGAAGAAGGCCUUAGGGUUGUAAAGUACUUUCAUCGGGGAGGAAAAAACAAAACUAAUAAUUUUAUUUCUUGACGUUACCCGAAAAAGAAGCACCGGCUAACUCCGUGCCAGCAGCCGCGGUAAUACGGAGGGUGCUAGCGUUAAUCAGAAUUACUGGGCGUAAAGAGCACGUAGGUGGUUUUUUUAAGUCAGAUGUGAAAUCCCCGGGCUUAACCUGGGAAUGGCAUUCAAGACUGGUUAGCUAGAGUCUUGUAGAGGGGGGUAGAAUUCCAUGUGUAGCGGUGAAAUGCGUAGAGAUGUGGAGGAAUACCGGUGGCGAAGGCGGCCCCCUGGACAAAGACUGACGCUCAUGUGCGAAAGCGUGGGGAGCAAACAGGGAUUAGAUACC